Molecule: long non-coding RNA, 208 nt
Filed under: Olea europaea (common olive)
Lineage: Eukaryota; Viridiplantae; Streptophyta; Magnoliopsida; Lamiales; Oleaceae
Description: long non-coding RNA (OEUR_LNC001266)
Source: RNAcentral
GGUACUGAUUUCUCUAGUUUCUCCACAGCACAAAUGGCCCAAACUUCUCUACCCUCAUUUGUAGAUUUAGUCUCAAAGGCCGAAAGUUUUGAAAUUUUUCAGAAAUCCCUUGACUCAUCUUCUCCAGCAGCGACAGCCUUUACUGUCACAAAAAAUUCCACCCAUCGUGGUGGCUCUUCUCGUAGUCAUCGGGGUCGCUUCGGUGGGC